UGUAAUAAAAUUAACGGUAUCAAUUUUCUUGCACCAGAUGCGCAUUUCGACAAUACAUGUCUCUUCAGUGAUGCUCGUGGCCAAAAUAUUUGAAAUCCAAAGCUUAUAUAAAACAUGAAGAGCUAUAAUCCAAAAGGUCCAAAAAGUUUAGCCAAAUCCGUGAAAGGAAUCAGAGCUUUGCAUGAGGGAGAUACAUUCCUUAAUAUAUAACAAUUUCUAUCAUUUUGUAACAGC
This 234-nucleotide long non-coding RNA is filed under the name Mytilus galloprovincialis (Mediterranean mussel). The record is from RNAcentral. Lineage: Eukaryota; Metazoa; Mollusca; Bivalvia; Mytilida; Mytilidae.